UACGGGGGGGGCAAGCGUUGUUCGGAAUUACUGGGCGUAAAGGGCUCGUAGGCGGCCAACUAAGUCAGACGUGAAAUCCCUCGGCUUAACCGGGGAACUGCGUCUGAUACUGGAUGGCUUGAAUCCGGGAGGGGGAUGCGGAAUUCCAGGUGUAGCGGUGAAAUGCGUAGAUAUCUGGAGGAACACCGGUGGCGAAGGCGGCAUCCUGGACCGAUAUUGACGCUGAGGCGCGAAAGCCAGGGGAGCAAACGGG
This 253-nucleotide ribosomal RNA is filed under the name uncultured bacterium. RNAcentral describes it as "partial 16S ribosomal RNA". It matches the Rfam family "Bacterial small subunit ribosomal RNA", at positions 524 to 776 of the family's 1533-position model. The record is from RNAcentral.